GAAAUGCGAUACGUAAUGUGAAUUGCAGAUUUCAGUGAAUCAUCGAAUCUUUGAACGCACAUUGCGCCCCCUGGUAUUCCGGGGGGCAUGCCUGUUCGAGCGUCAUUACAACCCUCAAGCUCUGCUUGGUAUUGGGCCCCGCCGACCCGGCGAGCCCUAAAAUCAGUGGCGGUGCCGUCCGGUUCCGAGCGUAGUAAUUCUUCUCGCUUUGGAGGCCGGGUGUGUGCUUGCCAGCAACCCCCAAUUUUUUUCAGGUUGACCUCGGAUCAGGUAGGGAUACCCGCUGAACUUAA
RNAcentral lists this unclassified non-coding RNA (293 nucleotides) under uncultured Ascomycota. RNAcentral describes it as "sequence contains ITS1". The stretch from base 1 to 105 matches the Rfam family "5.8S ribosomal RNA", at positions 50 to 154 of the family's 154-position model. Lineage: Eukaryota; Fungi; Ascomycota. The record is from RNAcentral.